CCUACGGGUGGCAGCAGUGAGGAAUAUUGGUCAAUGGGCGGAAGCCUGAACCAGCCAAGUAGCGUGCAGGAUGACGGCCCUACGGGUUGUAAACUUCUUUUAUACGGGAAUAACGCGCCUUACGUGUAGGUCUUUGCAUGUACCGUAUGAAUAAGGACCGGCUAAUUCCGUGCCAGCAGCCGCGGUAAUACGGAAGGUCCGGGCGUUCUCCGGAUUUAUUGGGUUUAAAGGGAGCGUAGGCCGCAUGUCAUGCUUGCUGUGAAAUGUCCGGGCUCAACCCGGGCCGUGCAGCGCGAACUGGCGGGCUGGAGUCCGCGGAAAGCAGGAGGAAUUCGUGGUGUAGCGGUGAAAUGCUUAGAUAUGACGAAGAACCCCGAUUGCGAAGGCAGCUUGCUGCAGCGGAACUGACGCUGAUGCUCGAAAGCGCGGGUAUCGAACAGGAUUAGAUACCCCAGUAGUC
This 460-nucleotide ribosomal RNA is filed under the name uncultured bacterium. Its description in RNAcentral is "partial 16S ribosomal RNA". It matches the Rfam family "Bacterial small subunit ribosomal RNA", at positions 338 to 795 of the family's 1533-position model. The record is from RNAcentral.